This 468-nucleotide ribosomal RNA is filed under the name uncultured bacterium. RNAcentral describes it as "partial 16S ribosomal RNA". It matches the Rfam family "Bacterial small subunit ribosomal RNA", at positions 28 to 507 of the family's 1533-position model. The record is from RNAcentral.
GACGAACGCUGGCGGCGUGCUUAACACAUGCAAGUCGAACGGAAAGGCCCUGCUUUUGUGGGGUGCUCGAGUGGCGAACGGGUGAGUAACACGUGAGUAACCUGCCCUUGACUUUGGGAUAACUUCAGGAAACUGGGGCUAAUACCGGAUAGGAGCUCCUGUUGCAUGGUGGGGGUUGGAAAGUUUCGGCGGUUGGGGAUGGACUCGCGGCUUAUCAGCUUGUUGGUGGGGUAGUGGCUUACCAAGGCUUUGACGGGUAGACGGCCUGAGAGGGUGACCGGCCACAUUGGGACUGAGAGACGGCCCAGACUCCUACGGGAGGCAGCAGUGGGGAAUAUUGCACAAUGGGCGGAAGCCUGAUGCAGCAACGCCGCGUGCGGGAUGACGGCCUUCGGGUUGUAAACCGCUUUCGCCUGUGACGAAGCGUGAGUGACGGUAAUGGGUAAAGAAGCAACGGCUAACUACGUG